This 88-nucleotide unclassified non-coding RNA is filed under the name Pseudomonas libanensis. The record is from RNAcentral. Lineage: Bacteria; Pseudomonadati; Pseudomonadota; Gammaproteobacteria; Pseudomonadales; Pseudomonadaceae.
GUGGGAGGGGGCUUGCUCCCGAUAGCGGUGGAUCAGUCAGCAGAUACAGUGACUGACACCCAGCAAUCGGGGGCAAGCCCCCUCCCAC